RNAcentral lists this ribosomal RNA (940 nucleotides) under Agaricus sp. Its description in RNAcentral is "LSU rRNA". It matches the Rfam family "Eukaryotic large subunit ribosomal RNA", at positions 38 to 963 of the family's 3401-position model. Lineage: Eukaryota; Fungi; Basidiomycota; Agaricomycetes; Agaricales; Agaricaceae. The record is from RNAcentral.
GCAUAUCAAUAAGCGGAGGAAAAAGAAACUAACAAGGAUUCCCCUAGUAACUGCGAGUGAAGCGGGAAAAGCUCAAAUUUAAAAUCUGGCGGUCUUUGGCCGUCCGAGUUGUAAUCUAGAGAAGUAAUGCCCGUGCUGGACCGUGUAUAAGUCUCCUGGGAUGGGGCGUCAUAGAGGGUGAGAAUCCCGUCUUUGACACGGACUACCAGUGCAUUGUGGUAUGCUCUCAAAGAGUCGAGUUGUUUGGGAAUGCAGCUCAAAAUGGGUGGUAAAUUCCAUCUAAAGCUAAAUAUUGGCGAGAGACCGAUAGCGAACAAGUACCGUGAGGGAAAGAUGAAAAGAACUUUGGAAAGAGAGUUAAACAGUACGUGAAAUUGCUGAAAGGGAAACGCUUGAAGUCAGUCGCGUUGGCCAGGGAUCAGCCUUGCUUUUGCAUGGUGUACUUUCUGGUUGACGGGUCAGCAUCAAUUUUGACCGCUGGAAAAGGGCCUGGGGAAUGUGGCAGCUUCGGCUGUGUUAUAGCCCCUGGUCGCAUACAGUGGUUGGGAUUGAGGAACUCAGCACGCCGCAAGGCCGGGUUUCGACCACGUUCGUGCUUAGGAUGCUGGCAUAAUGGCUUUAAGCGACCCGUCUUGAAACACGGACCAAGGAGUCUAACAUGCCUGCGAGUAUUUGGGUGGAAAACCCGAGUGCGCAAUGAAAGUGAAAGUUGAGAUCCCUGUCGUGGGGAGCAUCGACGCCCGGACCAGAACUUUUGGGACGGAUCCGCGGUGGAGCAUGUAUGUUGGGACCCGAAAGAUGGUGAACUAUGCCUGAAUAGGGUGAAGCCAGAGGAAACUCUGGUGGAGGCUCGUAGCGAUUCUGACGUGCAAAUCGAUCGUCAAAUUUGGGUAUAGGGGCGAAAGACUAAUCGAAUCAUCUAGUAGCUGGGUUCCUGCCG